Molecule: RNA transcript, 1459 nt
Organism: Drosophila albomicans
Lineage: Eukaryota; Metazoa; Arthropoda; Insecta; Diptera; Drosophilidae
Exons: 2
Source: RefSeq, a predicted model, not a curated record
UAUACAUACAUUAGAAUCCGGUUAUAACGACUCCGCUUAUAGUGUCCGUCCGGUUAUUGUGACGAAAAGUCGAUGGUUUGGUUGGUCCCCAUACAAACUUACAUAUAUGAAAGGGCCUCCGCUUAGUAUGUCUCCGCUUUUAGCGACAAACCGCUUAUACCGACGAAAUUUUUCACAAUACAACUGGAUAUUGCGACGAACAAAAAAAAAAUACAUCGAAAUAAUGCCAACAAAUUGAAGUAUCAAACGACGCUGUCAUAAAUGUAUGCAUUUAUCAAUGAUUGGCACUCUUGCUUGUGUGCGUAGGAGCGACACGAAGGUUCUAAUAUUCUCACUACUCUCUGUUAGUUUUAGCUGACGCCUUAGCUUAUACUAAGGAACAUGCAGGUAUACGAUUUAUUAUGGAAAAACCAUGCUAUUAAAUUAAAUUUAUAAAUUUUUUGUUAUGUUCAAAAAUUAAUUUGUUUUAUCUUAAAAACCUAUUACGAACAUGGCAACCAUAAAAAAAAAACAAAACAAAAAUUAAUUUUGCUCCUUUCGGUUAGUGCGUCUUCCGGGUAUAACGACGUCGGUCCCUUGAAAGUCGCUAUAAUCGGAAUCUACUGUAUUAUUAUAAUAGAAUUUUAUACAAAGUUAUGGCAUAUGCUAAUUAGUUCUACUUUAUAGAAUCUCGUAUCUAUGUCAAAGUCUAAUGGAAGCAGUUGUUAACAAAUUUUUUACUUAAGCGAGGGCCAACAGAAACUUACGCUAGUUACUCUUUCUUCUCAUUACCACUCUAAUAUAAGGAUCAUCUCUUUCGCAUUGAUCAGAUUUCUCGAUAUAAAAAGAGCAUUGCUAGAAAAAGAGUAAUUAAACAAUCAUAGAAAUAACUGUCAAAGUCUAACGGAACAAGUUGCUAGUAAAAAUAGUACCUUAGCAAAGUCUAACACAAGCAAUCAAAAGUUUUUUUUCGAUAAAACCGUACGGAUUGACUUUUUUAAGAACCGUCGUGAAUCAAUCACUUUAAAGCUGCCUACAACAUAACGCUCUCGAAUCGGGAAAUUAAGAUGGCAUACCAGACACUAUGGUUGCUUCUCGACGGUCAGUUCGAGUUAAUCUACACGCCACUUGGAACGAUACACUUGAUGUCCUUGGAUCUGCGAUGCGAACAGCGUGAGCAACCUUUGGGCAGCAUUACGCCGACGUUCAAAGAGACGGAACCGACGCGUUUUGUGCAUGCGCCCAUGGGGAGUCGAACCCAGAGACAGAAGUGGUCACUGUUGGGGAUGAUGAUGAUGAUGAUGAUGAUUGCGUUAUCAUUGAAGAAAAAAUAGAAAUCAUAGAAAUUAAAGACGAGGAUGACUAGGAGGUGGACCCCCUCGCUAUAUGAUAUAGAAGGGUUCGAAUCCCGAUCGGUGGUGCUCGAGUUAAAAUCCCAAUCGACAAUACAUGCAUAUUUUUGUUUUUUUUUAAUAUUUUG